GGGGCCGUAGUCUAGCCUGGUAGGACUUACCCUUGGGGUGGGUAAAGCCGGGGUUCAAAUCCUCGCGGCCCCA
RNAcentral lists this transfer RNA (73 nucleotides) under Candidatus Woesearchaeota archaeon. RNAcentral describes it as "tRNA-Pro". It matches the Rfam family "tRNA". Rfam says of the family: Transfer RNA (tRNA) molecules are approximately 80 nucleotides in length. Their secondary structure includes four short double-helical elements and three loops (D, anti-codon, and T loops). The record is from RNAcentral. Lineage: Archaea; Nanobdellati; Candidatus Woesearchaeota.